GCUUGUCUCAAAGAUUAAGCCAUGCAUGUCUAAGUAUAAACGACUUUAUACUGUGAAACUGCGAAUGGCUCAUUAUAUCAGUUAUAGUUUAUUUGAUGGUCCUUGCUACUUGGAUAACCGUAGUAAUUCUAGAGCUAAUACAUGCAUCAAGCCCCGACUUCUGGAAGGGGUGUAUUUAUUAGAUAAAGAACCAAUCCAUGCUUGCAUGGUUUUGUGGUGAUUCAUAAUAACUGAUCGAAUCGCAUGCCUUCGGGCGGCGAUGUAUCAUUCAAGUUUCUGACCUAUCAGCUUCCGACGGUAGGGUAUUGGCCUACCGUGGCAAUGACGGGUAACGGGGAAUUAGGGUUCGAUUCCGGAGAGGGAGCCUGAGAAACGGCUACCACAUCUAAGGAAGGCAGCAGG
RNAcentral lists this ribosomal RNA (402 nucleotides) under uncultured Colpodella. RNAcentral's name for it is "partial small subunit ribosomal RNA". It matches the Rfam family "Eukaryotic small subunit ribosomal RNA", at positions 30 to 432 of the family's 1831-position model. The record is from RNAcentral. Lineage: Eukaryota; Colpodellaceae.